AGCUGCUUCAGCGGAUGAUGAUGCAUAGUCGUCUACUCCCUCUGUGUGCGAUUCGAUGGGAUCGAAUUUUCCGAUGGCAGAUUCAAUUAUUGCAGUGAAUCGCGGAAUCUGGGUGAUGAUGCAGCGGGUGAAUACAGUUAAUUUGGUUGAUGGUGAUUAUUGCCCUGUAAUGGUUUUCUGAUGAGAGAUUGGUGGUCGCAUUUUCAAAGCACACGUGAAAAUCAUACUGUGAAAAAGGCACAGUCGUCAACACUACUAAAUACAAGUCAAGGGUUACUCAAUUUUGUUUUACGCUUUUCAAUUAGGACGAUGAAUAUUAUUGAAGGUAAGAGAUGUUCAUCACUGCUGAAGCAACAGUGUGACUUGAGAAGUCCACGGGCGAGAUUGGUUAUAUUACGAUAAAGAACCCAAAUAAAAUGCAAUGAUACAUAACCACGCAUAAAAUUAUACCAAUUUUGAAGAACAUUAAAAGAGCAUCGAUUUCAGAAGACCGAAUUAAAACAGUGCUAUCAAUUAAACGGGCAACUUUCAAUACCUGCAAUUUUACUUCAUAAAGUGGCCUUUUCGCGUUUUUUUAUCGACUGCCACGGGGGCAAAAUAAACCACAUCUCAAUCGUUAAA
Long non-coding RNA from Aedes aegypti (yellow fever mosquito), 621 nucleotides. RefSeq lists it as uncharacterized. The transcript has 3 exons. The record is from RefSeq and is a predicted model, not a curated record. Lineage: Eukaryota; Metazoa; Arthropoda; Insecta; Diptera; Culicidae.